Molecule: ribosomal RNA, 507 nt
Filed under: uncultured bacterium
Lineage: Bacteria
Description: bacterial SSU rRNA
Rfam family: Bacterial small subunit ribosomal RNA
Source: RNAcentral
CUGGCUCAGGAUGAACGCUAGCGGCAGGCUUAACACAUGCAAGUCGAGGGGCAGCGGGAUGUAGCAAUACAUUGCCGGCGACCGGCGGAUGGGUGCGUAACGCGUAUGCAACCUACCUUAUACAGGGGAAUAACCUUUCGAAAGGGAGACUAACACCCCAUAGUAUUGAUUUAAGGCAUCUUAGAUUAAUUAAAUAUUUAUAGGUAUAAGAUGGGCAUGCGUAUGAUUAGCUAGUUGGUAAGGUAACGGCUUACCAAGGCGACGAUCAUUAGGGGUUCUGAGAGGAAGGUCCCCCACACUGGUACUGAGACACGGACCAGACUCCUACGGGAGGCAGCAGUGAGGAAUAUUGGUCAAUGGGCGCAAGCCUGAACCAGCCAUGCCGCGUGCAAGGAAGACGGCCUUAUGGGUUGUAAACUGCUUUUACAUAAGACUAACCGUAUAUUUGCGAAUAUACCUGAAUGUAUUAUGAGAAUAAGGAUCGGCUAACUCCGUGCCAGCCGCGGC